RNAcentral lists this long non-coding RNA (15532 nucleotides) under Podarcis lilfordi (Lilford's wall lizard). The record is from RNAcentral. Lineage: Eukaryota; Metazoa; Chordata; Lepidosauria; Squamata; Lacertidae.
AGAGUUCUAUAGCCCUUGUGAGCAUUAAUCCUUUACUUAGGCUCUUGGUUGCUUUCCUCCCAGUUUGAAGUUGCAUGACAGUGUGAUGCAACUAAGAAAAGAAAAGCUAAUGCCAUUCUAGGCUGCAUCAACAGUAGCAGAGUGUCCAGAUCAAAGGAAGUAAUAGCAAUAGUACAAUUCUAUUCUGCCUUGCUCAGACCCCACUUGGAGGACUGCAUCCAGCACACAGCUGGAAUGUGUUCAGAGGAGGGCAACCAAGAUAACCAACCCUUAUGAGGAACGGUUGAGGGAGUUGGGUAUGUAUAGCCUGAAGAAGAGAAGACUAAGAGAAGAUACGAUGAUGUUGUUGUUGUUGAUUAGUUGUUUAGUCGUGUCCGACUCUUCGUGACUCCAUGGACCAGAGCACGCCAGGCACUCCUAUCUUCCACUGCCUCCCGCAGUUUCGUCAAACUCAUGUUCGUAGCUUCAAGAACACUGUCCAACCAUCUUGUCCUCUGUCGUCCCCUUCUCCUUGUGCCCUCCAUCUUUCCCAACAUCAGGGUCUUUUCCAGGGAGUCUUCUCUUCUCAUGAGGUGGCCAAAGUAUUGGAGCCUCAGCUUCAGUAUCUGUCCUUCCAGUGAGCACUCAGGGCUGAUUUCCUUCAGAAUGGAUAGGUUUGAUCUUCUUGCAGUCCAUGGGACUCUCAAGAGUCUCCUCCAGCAGCAUAAUUCAAAAGCAUCAAUUCUUUGGCGAUCAGCCUUCUUUAUGGUCCAGCUUUCACUUCCUCACAUCACUACUGGGAAAACCAUAGCUUUAACUAUACGGACCUUUGUUGGCAAGGUGAUGUCUCUGCUUUUUAAGAUGCUGUCUAGGUUUAGCUAAAGGGCUGGCGCAUAGAGCCAACUUGUUUUCCACUGCUCCAGAGCAUAGGACCCAGAACAACAGGUUCAAAUAGCAAGAAAGGUGAUUCCUAUGAAACAUUAGGAAGAACUGUAAGAGCUGUUCGGCAGUGGGAUGGACUACCUUGGAAGCUGAUAGACUCUCCUUCAUUUGAGGUUUUUUAGCAGAGGUUGGAGGGCAACCUGACAUGGAUGCUUUAGUUGAGAUUUCUGCAUUGCAGGGAGUUAGACUAGAUGACCCCCAAGGUCCCUUCAAACUCUAAAGGUCUAGGCUUCUGUUAUUGUCUCUGGCUCAGUAGUGGAUUGCAUGGUGGGUCAGCACUGCUCACCUGACUAGCCGAGUUGCUGCUGUGGAAUAGGAAGGAAAGGUGAAGAUACAAGAUGAUGGGGAGGUCUCAUGUGUGUGGGGGGGGGGCUACCUCUGUUCUCACACAGAUUAAAUGGAAUUACCCUCCUGGUUCAUUCUGAGCAAACGAAGGACAGUCAAAUAAAUGGGAAUACUCUAGGAUAUUGGUGUAAUGCUGUCCUGAAAAUCUACCCUUUCAAGAAGUGCUGCACCACAUGUUGCACCACCUGAAGCUAUCAAAGAGAGAGGAAAUGUAUGUCUCUUAAUAUUCAAAAUAGGGUGAGUUUUCCAAUUUCACAGUUCAAGUUUCUGAAUGAGAAAUUAUGACGAGCAAUUCAAACUCCCAUUUUGGAAGUGCAUCUUUUAUCUCAAAGAAAACUUUUUUUGUCAUCAUGUGAUUAUUUUAAUUCAAGCAUGCUGUGAAAUCUCAUGAGCUAUCAACUGGGAAAUGACAAUGGCUAAAUACUGCAGCAUGUUGUUUUCUAGAAGCUACUGUAUUGGGGGGGGGGUACCACCGCAUGUUGCCAACUAGAUAGUAUUAGCCACUGUUCAAAACUUCUUCAUGUAUUUCAUCAAAUAUAGCAGGGAUGAGUUACCUUUUUCAGUCAAAGGUCCAUUGCGUUCCAUUGUGGAAACUUGGGGGGCCACCUGCCACUAGUGGGUGGGGGUCAGAGGCAAAAGUGGGAGGAGCAAUGGAUGUGACUUGUAUCUUUGGACAUUUCAGCCCUGCAGAAAUAAAUAUAUUUCUAUAUAAGUACAAGUGUAAGGAGGUCAUCACACUGCAGUUCUUGUGGCUGCCAGUAGAUGGCCAUAGCAACUCCAGUGUCACAUAAAGCAGCCAGGCACGUGAGUAAGCAAGCAGCUGCUCAGUCAACCUCUUUAAUGGAGCAGGGAAGGCACUUCACUGAACAGUUUGAUAAACUGCUCUGCAAAAUGCCUCCACUCCUCCAUUAAACAUGGCUGCAGCAAGGUUUAACAGAAGAGGGAAGGUGCUUCAUAAAAAUGCUGUCUGAAGCUUCUUUAAAGGAGGUUGUGUAAGCUUUGAAGGGAGGGACCUAGUGUGCUCCGACACUGCCUCUGACAGUGGAGGAAAAACAUAGCCAUCAUUUAUUCACCAUGAAUGUGUCCAAUUAUAUUUUCAAGCCAUCCAAGUAGGUGGUCAUCAUUGUGGGGGUGAAUUCCAUAGUUUAACUAUGUGCUAUGUGGUGUGGGAUGCAGUGCAAUUAUCUGCAUUUCUGUGUAUGUAUACACAAGUUCGUUUUUGGUGUGUCCACAUAGCUCAAUAACCAAUUUCAAACUGGCAAUGUUGCCCCCAGAUUCUAAAAGGAUUGUACUUUCCAGAUCUUAUUCAAUAGGUGACCGUAAGACUACAUGGACAGUGGGUAAUGGCUUUAAAUAAUGGAUCUGCUGCAGAGAUAUUGAAUCAUCUGUCUCCAGAUCCCACCAUCUGCCGAUAUCUUCUUGAUUGUUUUCAUUCUUCCAUAUAAUUUGUUCUUGGAUUAGGCUGGUGUUAUGUCUAGAUUCUGGCACUCCCAACUUCAGUUAUUUUUACACUUGCCUUUUGCUUUUGUACUUCAGAUAGCACAGAUGUUCGCUUUCUUUACCUCCCAAAUUAGGAACUCUCUUCCCUCAAAAGCAUGGCUGGCACCAAUGUACCACUAAUAAAUGCUCACACAAUGGCUGGCAACGAAGCAGCCUAUCUGGGUGAGCAAUGUGACUUUGGAGUCGUGAGCUCACGCAAUACUGCAGCUCUUCUUUCACAAAAAAUCACGGUCUUCACAUUUGCAGAUUUCAAAUUUGCAGCUGCGAUUCCAUGGUACUGACAUUGUAUUUCAAAGCAGAGUUGACAUUCACAUCAGGAGCCGGAGCCUACUUUCAGAUCAUUAUUAAGUAAAACUCCACAGUGCUCUUUGAAAAUACUUUUUAUAAAUAAUAACGGCACCUGCUUCUUCAUGUACCUCUUCUGACUGCAAUAGGUGUCAGCCGAGCGGCAAACAAAUCUUCACCAUUCAUUGAUGCUAAUAGCAUUGAGCACACAUUUCUAAUUCCGUUACAGAUGUUUUGCUGACAGAGAAAGAUGACUCACCAUUUCUGGAGCAGGGUAGAGACAGGCAUGCCAUCUCAUCAAAGGCAAUAAUCAAUUUUCUCCCAAAUCUGCUCUGCAUUGAAUGAUGCCAUAAUAAAUUAAUCGGGAACAAACCAGGCCAACGGUAGGGUUGACGAAUAAAAUGUGUCACACAGACAGGGGAAGCUUAUAAAUCAAUUCAGCUGUGGCACAAAGGUCAGGCAAUGAGGCACUAAUAAAGCAUGCCUGAUAGCUAGCAAAGAAAUUACUUUGACUUCUUUUUCUCCCCCUUUUCCUUGAUGCGGCAUUUUCAUUAUGUUGAAUCAAACCAUCCCAUUAUUGGUUAGCUGCUGCGCCUUCGCAUGGGCAAGAAAGAUCUGUCCACUGUCUCCAGUUUCCAUUACUGUCCUUAUUAUAUGGAGGGAAACUGUUGGAAGCCACAAUUGGGAGCCUCUUUGGAAGCUACAACUGGGUCAGAAGGCAACAGUAAGCCAGUGUAGCACUAGGGGGCAGAGUGUUGACCUAGGACCUGUGAGACAAGAUGUCAAAUCACCACACAACCAUCAAGGUCACCGGGUGACCUUGGACCAGUCACCAAGUCUGUGUGCACAACAAGGCUUUGAAGCAUACACACACCCCUCUAAAAAAACCCCAAAAGGUUCUUGGAAACUUUAGUAUGUUAAGGGUGCUGUGAACUAUAUUUCUGUGAGGAGUAAACAGUGGUUCACAGAAUUCUUCCUCCCGCAAGCUACUGUUGGUAUAUUGGAAGCUUCCUUCCAUCGUUGGGCAAUAACUAUUCUGUGAACCACCGUGAGACCUCCAGGUAUAGGACAGUAUAUAAAUUCAAUUAACAACAACAAGAAGAAGAAGCCUAGCUGCUGUGAACAAGAAGGAAAUUAAUUCUUUAAAUUUGAGAUUAGAAUUUGCAGUUAGAUCUAAGGAUAACAAGGCAAGUGGCGAAUUAGGAAAAAUUAGACUGUAUUGUGAUUUUGGAGGCCAGACGAAACACUUUUUUCCCAACCCAAAAGCCAUUAACCAAAGUACAUUUCCACCAAGUAUGAAAAUAAGAGCAUUGUUCUCCACAGCCUUUCCAGAGAAGUGGUGAGCUUGAAGAAAUAAUUAUUGCAAGGUGUGUGGGCUAUUUCAGUUUCCCGUCUUGUUCCGAUAACUUUUGUGUUGCCAACAAAGCUGUUUGGUAUCCUGCCAUACAUUGUUGACACUGCCCCUUUCAUGUCAUAGCUAGGUCUACUAUGUAGCGAUUCGAAAAGGGUCUCAAGCCCUCACCUGUGUGUACCAAAUGCUUUUGCGAAAGUGCCCAGUUGGUAAAGUUGUAGCCAAUACAAUCCCAGAAUUCCUGUUCCACACUGUGAUGUGAUGUAUUACAUUUUUUAAUUUUAUUUUGGUCAAUUAUAGUAUUUCUAAAUUUACAUUUAUACAUGUAAAUUAGCACAGAGAGAUUUUAUGGAAGGUGAUGUUCUUUUUUGUUGUUUUCGUGUGCACAAGAAGAAGAGAAAAAGCUGAAGUAAAUCUGGUUGCCGUAGGCAGUGGUGAGAAUCAGAUCAAUGACCUUCUCAAGCAUACCUUGAUCUCUCAGCCACAAUGCUAUACCUGCAUGAACGCACACACGCACUCUCACACACAUAUUUCCCUCGUUUCCCGGAUCAUUUUUUUCCUGAUUUGCUGCAAGAAAACAUUGCAGUGAAGAAGAAGAAGCAGGAAAAAAGAGGGAGACUUUAAACAGGAGCAUUACUCAGAGGGCAGAAGAAACCUCCCUCAAUAACACCAGCUGGAAAAAGUGAUUUGCUAAAGAUUGCCGCCCAAAUAGCUACAUUCAUUAGCUGUCACAGUGUAUCCCAGAUCAGGCUAUUAACCAUUCCAGCUUUGACAUUUUUAUGUCUCAAGCCCUAGAUUUUUUCCAUCAAAUGUCUUUAUUAAAUCAGAUUAAUCUCCUGGUGAAAUUACUCCUUCUUCUUAAAGAGAGCACAAAGAGCAAAAUAGCUUUUGAUCGCAGAAUCAUAGAGUUGGUAGGUUCGUCAAAGGCCAUACAAUCCAACCCUUUGGCAAUGCAGCGUUCCUGAUAAGAUCCAUCCUUUUACUUAAAAUCAUUGAAUGAAGGCGAAGCUACCCUCUACUGCUGCAGUCUGCUCCACUUUGUGACGUGUUGUCAGGAAGUUCUUCUACAUAUUUAGUCAAAAUCCUUGUCCUGAGCUCAGCAGGGCUGUUGGGGUUGGGCUGGCAUAGGAACAGCAAGAAGCAGAGAGGUGAGCUGAAUUGGAGGGUGCCAAAUUCACUGCAUUUUUUUUAAAAAAAAUAUAUUUUAGUUUAUAAUUUUUAUUUUAUUUUGCAACACAAACACAUACACUCAUAAAACUGAACAUAAAAAUGAAAACAGAAGAACAGAAAGAAACACAAACGUGAAAAGAAAAAAAACAAUGUCAAAGUAAAAUACAAAGGCUUCUACAAAAACAAAUAGUGAACAAUGUAUGUAUACCAUGUUUCAAUUCUUCUUUUCUUCCAAUUGAAUUUCUUCAUCCUCAGCACGGUUCUGUUUUCAUUUUUGGUAAACUGUUUCCGUCUUAUUUCGUUUUUACCCUUUUUCUUUCUAUUUUUAGCGUUUACAUCAUGAUUUGUUUUGCAAAGUGAAUCGAAACAAGUCCAAGUAUUAAUUUGAGGGCACUGCUUUUUUAAGGUAGUCUCUAUAUUUUCCUCAUUCUUUCUGAAAUUUUUGUUUGGGCUGACCCCUAAUUGCAUCUGUCAUUCUAGCCAAUUCUAUAUAGUCAAAUAAUUUAUCUUGCCAUUCUUUUUUUGUCAGAAUUCUUUCUCCCCCCCCCCCCAAUUUUUAGCAGUUAGUGUUCUCGCAGUCACUGUAGCAUAAAGAAAUAUUUUCAUAUUUUCUCUGGCUAUAUCAGUGUCUAGUAUCCCCAGUAAAAAAGCUUCUGUUUUCUCAAUGAAAUGUUGUUUAAACAGUUUCUUUAGCUCUUCAUAUCCCAUAUCCCAGAAGCCUUUGAUUUUAUCACAAGUCCACCAUAUAUGUAGGAGCGUCCCCUCUACUUGGUUACACCUCCAACACAUACUUGAUUUUGUUUUAUACAUUUUACAUAUUUUGGUCGGGGUUAAAUACCACCUGUAAAACAUCUUCAUCAAAUGUUUCUUUAUCGCCUCACAAGCCAUAAAUUUCCAAUUUUUUUUUAAAAAAAACCAUUUUCACAGCGUUUUGUUUAAAUAUGUGUGUAGAUUCCACCUCUGUGGUGGCUGGGGAGAAUUUUCAUGAGCCCAGAGGGGAAGCUGCAGCAAAUGAGCUGGGGGUGCAGCCUAGCCACCAAGAACCAGGUUCCACCUUUUCAGGCAACAGCAGAUGCCCUGACAGAGAACUCGCUUGCCACCCCAAUUUCCCCACAAGGCAAGAGAGUCUCGUGUGAGAGUGCAUCACAUCUUGUCUUUAAAAGCUUGGUGAGAGGGAUGGGAAAGCUUGUUGAGAAAUCAUCACUGCUCCCAAUUGUGAACUACUGCAUCUAGACUUCGGAAUUCCAUCUCUAGAAAAGGUAGACUGGCUCCUCCCUUCACUAGCAGGUGAAGACUUCUUUGUUCCAACAGGCUUUUGGGAACUGACUGUGUUUAAUUCAAGGAUUGGUGCCAAGCUAUUUUUAUUGUAAUUAUUUGUAUGUUUUAAACAGAUUUUAUACAGUCAUACCUCGGGUUACAGAUGCUUCAGGUUGCCUUUUUUUGGGUUGCAGACCUGAACGGGUUACUUCCAGGUUUUGGCAGUCGCGCUUGCGCAGAAGCACUGAAUCACAACCCACGCGUGCGCAGACAUGCAGACUUAGGUUGCGAACAUGCAUCCCGCACGGAUCACAUUUGCAACCCGAGCGUCCACUAUAUAUGUCUUUAAUUCUAUCAGCAUUUAGUUGCUUUUUAAUGGUUGUGCUUUCUAUGUUUUUAAUAGUUCUUGUUUUUAAUCUUUAAGUCACCCUGAAUUCCGUCAGGGGAAAAGGUAGGGUAUAAAUAAACAGAUAAUAAUAAUAACUUCUUGCUCUGCUGUGCAACUCCAGAAUUAUGACUCCAGAGCCCUGUGGCGGCUGUUGAGCCUGUAUUACUUGCCUGGAUAAAGAUAUCUUUCUUAUUUCCAAGUGAGAGUCUCUGUCUUUGUGUGUCGGGCAGGAGCUAGGACAAUAGUAUCCCCCCUGUAAAUUGAAUCCAUUAGUUCAGGUCCUGACCUCUGGAGCAACGGAAAACAGCAUUGCUCCCCUGUCUAUGUGACAGCAAUUCAAAUAUUUGAAGAUGGCUAGCAUAAUACCACUUAAUCGUCUCCUUUCCAGGUUGAUCCCAAGUGACCCCUGUAUCAUAUCAUACUGUAGGGCAAAGGUACACCACAGCUUCACAGGUGCAUCUUCACUUAAUGAUUGCAGCAUUAUGAAAACCUGCAAGUAUGUGUGGCCCUUUUUGUUGCUGGCAUUCAUCUGUCUUAAUAAUAAUAAUAAAUUUUUAUUUAUACCCCACCCUCCCCAGCCAGAGCCGGGCUUAGGGCUGUUGGGGUUGGGCUGGCAUAGGAACAGCAAGAAGCAGAGAGGUGAGCUGAAUUGGAGGGUGCCAAAUUCACUGCAUUUUUCAAAAAAUAUAUAUAUAUUUUAGUUUAUAAUUUUUAUUUUAUUUUGCAGCCAGAGGCUCAGGGCGGCUAACACCAGUAAAUUUACAACAAAAACAUAAUGGGGGGGGACAAUUAAAAAUACAGGUUAAAAUGCAAUUUAAAAUGCAGCCUCAUUUUAAAAGUAGCCCAUGGAUCAAAACUGUAAGGGGAGGGAAAACAUAAGGGUCAGACUGAGACCAAACCAAAGGCCAGACAGAACAGCUCUGUCUUGCAGGCCCUGUGGAAAGAUGUCAAGUCCCGCAGAGAUUGAGGUGGUGCGAAUAACAAGAUACCUGCCCUCUUGACCAUUUUGAUCUGUGGAACAGGAACUUUUUCAAGUGCCACAUAAUAUUCACCCCACACUUGUAAGCAAUCUUUAAUUUUUUUAGCAUAGCUGCACCUACCCCCUGGAACGGCUUUCCCUCUGACAUAAGGCAUGCACCUUUACUAUACUAUUUUCAGUCCCUGCUAAAAGCUUCUUUUUUGUUUAGGGAAGCCACCCCAGGUAUGCAAAGCCUACAUGUAUUUUAAAAUGUAAUUUUAUGGUGUGUGGUUUGUGAUGUUAUUUGUAUUUUGAUAAACCUUUUUUUAGGUUAACUUAUUUUUAACUCUGAUUUUUAUCAAUAAUUUUAAUGUAUAUUUUACAUUACAUAAACUGCUUAGGGGUUUUUUACUAUUCCUUUUCUUCUUCUUUACUAUAAUUGUUAAUCUGUUAAAUAAAAUACAAUGCAUGAAUGCAUAUUGCUUGGUAAGGAGGUGGACUUCACAAUGGAACAAAUUGUGUGGUUUUUUAAAAAAGCAAACAAACCAAAAACAAUACAAUACACCAAAAUACAAUUAUUGUAAUUUUUGCCAUAACAAUGAAUUCAUUUUAAAAGGAAAAUCGAAGUACAAUGAGACAUUAUUACAAUCAGGAUAAUUGUACAAUGUUUGAUAAAUUCACUUAUGCAGGUUUCCUUUCCAAGAUCCUGUAGUUCCAUCUUCAAGACAAAAAAAUACAGAGUAUGAUCUAACGGGUGUGUUUCUGUCUCUGAUCGUCAGGGGAAAAAAGAGUCCAGUGUUAAUGAUGCUGCUUACAUGGAGAUAACCAAACAUGAGAAACCACAUCCAAGUUGCAUCAUCCAGGACUGGAUCUCCGAAUCAGCCUUCCCUUUCAGGGCCGUCUGUAGCAUAUACGCCACUGGAGUGCAAAGAUCCACCCAGCGCCCCCAAAUUUAGUUUAGCCACUCCCAAAGGUGUCAAAGGUGCCUCUGACCCUGCUGUCACAAAGCAGCUUAAUACAAUACAUAACAUAAUAUUUUGAUGUAAGAGUUAAUUUCACGUGCACGCACUGUCGUGAAUGACAAGCGUAGCUACUGGCACAGCGCAUCUUUGGUAAAUGAGUGCACAAAGUUGAAUGUCCUUUAGUGAAACAGUAGGAAUACAUUUUGGUAAUACCUAGGUACAGUGGUACUUCGGGUUAAGUACUUAAUUCGUUCUGGAGGUCUGUUCUUAACCUGAAACUGUUCUUAACCUGAAGCACCACUUUAGUUAAUGGUGCCUCCUGCUGCUGCAGGAGCAUGAUUUCUGUUCUCAUCCUGAAGCAAAGUUCUUAACCCGCGGUACUAUUUCUGGGUUAGCAGAGUCUGUAACCUGAAGCGUAUGUAACCUGAGGUACCACUGUAUAUAUGUUUUUUGUUUUACUAGCUUGAUCAAAAUUAUUUAUUAUUUCAUAAUAGGUAGAUAGUUAAGAGCUAAGGCAACUUCAGUGGCGGGCACCUAGUGCCCCCCCCAAUUUGGCACCCAGGUGCCCCGCACCCCUUGCACCCCAGGGUAAAGACGGCCCUGUUCCCUCUCCUUGUACCCUCUGGAUGUUUUGGAUUACAACUUCCAUAGCAUCAGCUAGCAUGCCCAUGUUGGCAAAGAAUGGUUUAGACUGUGUUUAGACACAUCUGAUGACCAACUAAAGGAUUAAUAAAACAAGAUCAGUUUAUAGAAAUAUAACCACAGACUUCAAGCAGUAAAGCUUCCAACAGGGCAAAUUGUCUUUUGAGUUUCCCAUGCUUAUAGUAAUAUAUCACCCUUUAAAUCUGGCGGGGAUGUCAAAUUCAGACAUUUAUUAUUACUCUAGGACAAGUAAUGUGAAACACCGUGUAAUGGUUUCACUAUACCACAGGACACAGAAACAUCAAGCAGGGACAUCACGUAAUGCUCAGUUUUGCCAAUAAAUGUCUGAAAGAGCCAAUAAUUGUUACAUCCAAAGAGCAAUUUGUUUCUGUGGUCUCGAGGACGCAAUGUGUUAAGCCAUUUUCAUAUCAUUAAGGCUUUAUGAGCAGAGAAACAUGAUGAACUUGGAGUUAAAGGCAACCAAGUGACAUCCAGCCUUUUAAAUAAGACCAUCAGAAAUUUGGCAAGACAACGAGGCAACGCGAUCCCUUUGGCUGUCCAAAUAUUUGGAAAAGGGUGGCUGGAAUAAGCAACAGCAUGGUGUCAGAGUCCAUCCCAAUCAUGGUUUCGGGGUGGGAGGAGAUGACCUUAUUCAAGGAAGAAGAGUGAGAUGCUCUAGAUACAUCUAUUGUGAUUGGAGAUCCCGUAGAGCCUGAUGUCCUACUCACCGGUGGUUGGUGUUCAUAGGAAUGGGUAGGUGUGCACACCAUAGCUGUCAACCGUCCCUUAUUUGGCGGGACACUCCCUUAUCCCAGCACUGUGUCCCGCUGCUGUCCCUUAUUGAUGAUGUCCCUUAAAUUUCCCAGGUUUCAAAGGAAGCAGCUCCUCUCCCUCCCUCCCUGCUGGCCAGGGAGGGAGGCUCCAACUGUGUUGCUUGGCUGCAUUGCUCACCCAAUAAGGAGUCUAAGAACGACUGGGGGUGGAGCUUGCAUGCCAUGUGCCGAUCAAAUUGGCCGCAUUGCCCGGGGAUUCGCCUUUGCUCAGUGCUUCCCAGCGGAGAGGUGACGGUGGUUUUCCUUGCUGCAUCCCCUUUGCCGGGUUGCUGCGCUGUGGGAACCACCACUUGAGGCUUCGUUUGGCUGCUAGCUGGGUUUUCUGCCUUUGGCUCGGAGGGGCUCAGAAGUUGAACAUACCUGUGCUCUGAAAAUCCCUUAUUUUGGCUGCUGAUCCCUUAUUUUCGAGGCUGCUGGUCCCUUAUUUUCAAAUCUGUAAGUUGACAGCUAUGGUGCACACACUACGUUGUCAUCAGCAUACUGCAGCUCUGUGACAGAAGUUACGGUUACCUUACUCUUUGCUUUCAGCCUACUCAGAUUAAAGAGCUUUCCAUCUGCUCAAUAUAUGAUUUCUACUCCAGUGGGGUGUUUCCCGUCGACAAAGUUUAGGAUCAUGGCAAUGAAAAUAAUGAAUAGAGUUGGGGUGAUAACACAACCCUGCUUAACACCUGAUCCUACUGUAAAUGGUUCACUUGGAGAGCCAUCGUUUUCUGCAAUUUUUGCUGUUAUAUUAUCAUAGAGGAGCUGAAUGAUGUUCACAAAUUUAUCUGGGCAGCCAAUUUUCAGAAGGACAGUCCAUUACGAUUUACAGUGUCAAAGGCCCCUUAGUCAGGUCAAUAAACGCCAUAUACAGGGGUUGGUUUUGUUCUUUGCAUUUUUAUUGAAGCUGUCGAGUGGUGAAAAUCAUGUCCUCUGUCCCCCCAGAAGGUCUAAAAGCAUUCUGGGAUUCAGGAAGUGUAGCCUCGGACAUUGUUAAUUCGCUAAGAUCCUUGCCAGAAUUUUGCCAGCCGCUGGUAAUAAAGAGAUGCCUCGAUAGUUUCCGCAAUCUGUUCUGUCACCUUUUUUAAAGAGAUUGAUAAUUUUGGCAUCUCUAAAGUCUGCUGGGAUCUCCUCUCUCUCUCCCAUAUUUUGUCAAAAGAGUGUGUUGGUAAUAGCAAGGUUGUGCGCUGCACAUGUAGUCAAAAAUAAGAUUCCGUUCUAGUUGCUGUUGCCAAUUCCUUCUUUCCCAAUAUUCCCAGGCCACAGAUCAAAAUCUCACCCAACUCUGGCAUUAAAAAUCACCCAGGAGGAUAAUUUUAGAUGGCAUCCAGCUGAGAGUAAAAUUUUUCUUUAAUGUCUUCAUUGGCAUUCAGUGUUGGUGCAUAAGCGCUUAGAAUAGUAGCCUGCUGGUUUUUGGCGAGUUUUAUUCAAAGGGUUGAAAUUCGCUCAUAAAUGCCGGAAGGGACUUCUGGCAAGAGCUUCACAAGAUCGUUUUUGAUAGCAAAGCCUACUCCAUGUAUUCGAUGUUCUUGUUCAGGUAGACCUUUCUAGAAGAAUGUGACACUCCUUUUUCUUCCUUGAUUUGUCCCUCACCUGCUCUUCAAGUUUCUUGAAGUGCUGUGAUAUCAAUGAUUGAUAAGCAGCAUUCCUGAGGUGGCUUAUAGCAGCCCACUGCCCUCACCAGGUGUAGUGCAACUAGGGGAGCAGCACUGUGAUGUCUCAGAGAUGGCACUUUGCCACAUGGUUAGCACCAUUCAGUAUGCCUGUGCAACACUGGUUUGAGCUGAAUGUGUGAAUUGGCUCCAUUGAAAAGCACUGUGUGAUAUCAUGUUUGUAAAGAACCGUGAAGCUGAGAGGGGAAUCUUGUCAUCUGGGCAGCCCAGGGCCUCCAAUACACACUGCCCUGUGCCCUGGAAGUGACCCUAACACAAAAACAAUGGGAGGCAGCAGUUAUGAGCUACCAGUCUCUGCAAUCGCUGUGAUUCUCCAGUGGCUUGACUUCACCCCCAGUUUUGACCUUUAAGGCCCUAUGCGGCCUAGGACCCACGUACCUAUGGGACCGCCUCUCCUGGUAUGCCCUGGGGAGGACCUUAAGGUCCACAAAUGACAACAUUUUGGAGGUCCUAAGUCACAAGGUGGUUAGAUUGGUCUCAACUAGGGCCAGGGCCUUUUCAGUACUGGCCCCGACUUGGUGGAACGCUCUGUCACAAGAGACUAGGGCUUGACAUCUUUCCGCAGGGCCUGCAAGACAGAGCUGUUCCGUCUGGCCUUUGGUUUGGACUCAGUCUGACCCUUAUGUUUCCCUCCCCUUAUGGUUUUGAUCUAUGGGCUAUUAUUAAAAUGAGGCUGCAUUUUAAAUUGUAUUUUUAACCUGUAUUUUAAAUUGUUUCCCUCCCCUAUUAUGUUUUUAUUGUAAUUUUACUGGCGUUAGCUGCCCUAAGCCUCUGGCUGGGGAGGGCGGGGUAUGAAUAAAAUUUAUCAUUAUUAUUAUUAUUAAGUGGGGAUAGACUCUAGGGAAAACUUUCUCAACUUUAGUCCUCAGAUGUUGUUGGACUACAACUCCCAUCACCCCUAGCCAGCAGGACCAAUCACCAGCCAGGGAUGAUGGGAGUUGUAGUUCAACAACAUUUGGGGACCCAAGAUUGAAAAAAGCUGGUCUAGGGGUUCCAAACUCUUACCCCAGAGUUCGGUUUCCUUGGAAGGAAGGUCCAAUGGCUAUUGUUCUCCUUACCAGCCAAGUGAGAGGGGAUGAGGAAAAGACCCACCUAUUUGUUUCUAUGACAACGAAGCUCACUCAGUCAUGAUGGAUCUCCCUCUUUUAAGAUGCAGAUGUUGGGUGCUUAGUUGCACACCUUGAUAAAGGGAAUAUCUUAGCCAGCCUACCAGAUUCCCUCUUUUACAUUGUAGCCUCUUGUUUUGAAAGUGAUCCACAUUUUCAGUGCCUCGCCUAAACACAUUAUUGGAAGAUGUCUCCCAGCCUUGACAUUCCAUACCUACCUUACUUUUAGUUAUUUGGAGGGGAGGGGAAAGAGAAAUGUCAUCACAGUGCCAGGCAUAUUUGAUCUUCCCACCAUCUCUUUUACUGACUCUAUGCUUCCUCCUCUCCCACUGUGGAUAAGGAAAAGGGAUAAAGUGUAAUAGCAGUGCAGUUCACACUUCGCUGAAGCCAGGAAUAAGUUGCUCAUGGAAUGCAGUACUAUGGCUUCAGUGGCCAAAAAGAGGACACGGUUUUCCAAUCAAAGAGAAAAUAAAAUAAAAAAGAGGGCAAAAGACAACUUGGGCUUGCAUAAAUUGUGUAUGGGCUAAUUUGUAAAUACAGAUGCAAACUUGGAAAUUAUGGUGCUGGAGGAGACUCUUGAGAGUCCCAUGGACUGCAAGAAGAUCAAACCUAUCCAUUCUGAAGGAAAUCAGCCCUGAGUGCUCACUGGAAGGACAGAUCCUGAAGCUGAGGCUCCAACACUUUGGCCACCUCAUGAGAAGAGAAGACUCCCUGGAAAAGACCCUGAUGCUGGGAAAGAUUGAGGGCACAAGGAGAAGGGGACAACAGAGGACGAGAUGGUUGGACAGCUACCAGCAUGAGUUUGACCAAACUGUGGGAGGCAGUGGAAGACAGAAGUGCCUGGUGUGCUCUGGUCCAUGGGGUCAUGAAGAGUCGGAUACGACUAAAUGAUUAAACAACAACAACAAAUAAUUUAAAUAGUACUGCCUUGUUCACUUUUGAGUCUUAUUUAACUGUUGAUGUGCUUUGAAUUAGACCAGAGUAGAUCAUACCUGCAUGCAUUUGAAUUUGUAUACGAGGAGUAACUUUUCUCUUUCCCAUUCAUAUCAGUAGACAUUCCCUUUUGUCCCAGCCUUCUAUUUUGUUGAUUCAAUUAUGUCAAUUAAAAACUGACAGGGCAUAUUGGCACAAAGCUGUGCAUGUGCUUUGUUUAUCUUUUUUAAAAAGAAAAAGGAAAAAAAUGUGCAAACCUGCAAAGGAUGCUACUGGAAGUAAGAAAUGGAGCAGAUCUGGACGUUUAGCUGUUCUGACUUGAAAGACCUAUCUGCUACAGUCAGUUACAGGUUUAAGACUGAGUAGCAGAGUCUCAUAUUCCCUCUGCCCCCCACCCCCACCAUUAAUUUGUUCAUGAAUUGUGUUCCCCUGGCACAUUUCUCUGAGGAAAGCUUUCAUCUCUGGGGAUUUGGACAUCCAUGUUAGUAUGACGGAUGCACUGUGCAUAAAUACUGCUUUGAUCUCUUAAAUAUAUCUGAAAAUGUGCCAUUUGCGAGUGGAUGGAGUCUUUUGUCGUUUUGGGAAGGGUUAUCCACAACAUCCUGGUUCUGACAAAUAGUUUUAGCGCCAUUUGCCUCUUUUGCAUUGUAGGUUGUAAUUAACGGGAAACAUGACACCAGCAAUCUCAGAAGAAACAACAGCUCUCAGGGCGAUCCCAUUCUGCUUUCUGUUGGUUGCGCAACGUUUAUCCGAGCCGAACAAGAGAGCCAAAUUCAGAGCAGCUUGGGAGUUUAAAGCAGAAGAGGCUUCUUCAUCUGACCCUCAGGACUCUCCCCACAGGGCCUCACCCCUUUCCCCCAAGUUAUGCUUCUUGCCAGCUCAGCUUUGCACCCUACUUGAGCACCUUUACCUGGUGCUGAGGCACUUUGAACUGAGGCAAUGCCUCUUGCUUGCCUAGAUGGAGGUUGAAGAGAGCUGUAUGUGUACAGAACCUUUUGACUUUUGUUUGACUGGAAUGUAGCUAUCCUACUGCUCCAGCCCCUUUGCUCUCCAAUCCUGCCAAUGCAACGUGGCCUGCAUUAAGUUGUCCAUGUGGCCUGUGGAUUGAAAAACGUUUCUGCAUCCCAGUGUUAAGGAAACCAAGGUUCUUCCUAAUGUCUCAACAAAUGAAACUGAUAUGUAAAAAUUGUUACUUGGGGGGAGGGGGAAGAGAGAGAGAGACAUUGCAC